This 613-nucleotide ribosomal RNA is filed under the name Yersinia intermedia. Its description in RNAcentral is "bacterial SSU rRNA". It matches the Rfam family "Bacterial small subunit ribosomal RNA", at positions 54 to 656 of the family's 1533-position model. The record is from RNAcentral. Lineage: Bacteria; Pseudomonadati; Pseudomonadota; Gammaproteobacteria; Enterobacterales; Yersiniaceae.
CAUGCAAGUCGAGCGGCAGCGGGAAGUAGUUUACUACUUUGCCGGCGAGCGGCGGACGGGUGAGUAAUGUCUGGGAAACUGCCUGAUGGAGGGGGAUAACUACUGGAAACGGUAGCUAAUACCGCAUGACCUCGUAAGAGCAAAGUGGGGGACCUUCGGGCCUCACGCCAUCGGAUGUGCCCAGAUGGGAUUAGCUAGUAGGUGGGGUAAUGGCUCACCUAGGCGACGAUCCCUAGCUGGUCUGAGAGGAUGACCAGCCACACUGGAACUGAGACACGGUCCAGACUCCUACGGGAGGCAGCAGUGGGGAAUAUUGCACAAUGGGCGCAAGCCUGAUGCAGCCAUGCCGCGUGUGUGAAGAAGGCCUUCGGGUUGUAAAGCACUUUCAGCGAGGAGGAAGGCAGUCGUGUUAAUAGCACGAUUGAUUGACGUUACUCGCAGAAGAAGCACCGGCUAACUCCGUGCCAGCAGCCGCGGUAAUACGGAGGGUGCAAGCGUUAAUCGGAAUUACUGGGCGUAAAGCGCACGCAGGCGGUUUGUUAAGUCAGAUGUGAAAUCCCCGCGCUUAACGUGGGAACUGCAUUUGAAACUGGCAAGCUAGAGUCUUGUAGAG